Non-coding RNA from Macaca mulatta (Rhesus monkey), 738 nucleotides. Lineage: Eukaryota; Metazoa; Chordata; Mammalia; Primates; Cercopithecidae. The record is from RefSeq and is a predicted model, not a curated record.
CAUUUAGUUUCCUGUGUGUGGGAGCUGUGUAGCUGUGUGUUUUUGCUGUUUGGGUUGGUGCUGCGUUUAGAAGCUUGUAACACUUCUGAAGCUGGAAUAAACUACAAACCCACCAGGAAGAAGCAGCAACUGCGGACGUACUGCUUUUAAGAGUUGUAACACUCACAACGGAGGUCUGUAGUUCUUUCCUAAUGGUGAGACCACCAAACCCACCGGAAGGGAGAAACUUCGGACACAUCUGAAUGACACACCGUCUUUCAGAACUGUAACACUCAGCGGGAGGGUCCCUUGCUUCAUUCUUGAAGUCUGUGAGACCAACAACCUAAAUCCAAGCACAUUUUGCCAACCACGAAAGGACCAUUGGAUAUCGCCAUACGCAACCUGCACGUGUUCUGACUUGUGAUCUCAAGGUCUGAGAGACGUGUGUGGUGAAAUCACACCCACCUACCCCAGCAGAGGGGCCACUGGAUGUACCCGUGCGCUGCAGGAAACUCGGAUGAAAGGUUUGUUAUUAAUGAAUGUUCUGUCAUUACAAUGAAGAUUCCUCGGCCGUGGUGAAUUCCUCUCUGACCACACAGCCAAUUCUAGUCUGCGUAGUGAAUACGCUGAGGGUUUUGCAUCUACUUUCUGACCCCGUGGUGGUUUUGAGAAUCAUUCUGUACUUUAAACAAUUAGAUCCUGCAUUGUUUUCCUCCUUUUAAAAUGAUUUGUUUCUGCCUUUAAAUUUAUCACAUCUUU